GGCUUGUAGCUCAGGUGGUUAGAGCGCACCCCUGAUAAGGGUGAGGUCGGUGGUUCAAGUCCACUCAGGCCUACCAA
Molecule: transfer RNA, 77 nt
Filed under: Escherichia coli
Lineage: Bacteria; Pseudomonadati; Pseudomonadota; Gammaproteobacteria; Enterobacterales; Enterobacteriaceae
Also listed under: 4 other names
Description: tRNA-Ile
Rfam family: tRNA
About the family: Transfer RNA (tRNA) molecules are approximately 80 nucleotides in length. Their secondary structure includes four short double-helical elements and three loops (D, anti-codon, and T loops). Further hydrogen bonds mediate the characteristic L-shaped molecular structure. tRNAs have two regions of fundamental functional importance: the anti-codon, which is responsible for specific mRNA codon recognition, and the 3' end, to which the tRNAs corresponding amino acid is attached (by aminoacyl-tRNA synthetases). tRNAs cope with the degeneracy of the genetic code in two manners: having more than one tRNA (with a specific anti-codon) for a particular amino acid; and 'wobble' base-pairing, i.e. permitting non-standard base-pairing at the 3rd anti-codon position.
Source: RNAcentral